This 440-nucleotide ribosomal RNA is filed under the name uncultured bacterium. Its description in RNAcentral is "partial 16S ribosomal RNA". It matches the Rfam family "Bacterial small subunit ribosomal RNA", at positions 338 to 795 of the family's 1533-position model. The record is from RNAcentral.
UCUACGGGAGGCAGCAGUGGGGAAUAUUGCACAAUGGGGGAAACCCUGAUGCAGCGACGCCGCGUGAGUGAAGAAGUAUCUCGGUACGUAAAGCUCUAUCAGCAGGGAAGAAAAUGACGGUACCUGACCAAGAAGCCCCGGCUAACUACGUGCCAGCAGCCGCGGUAAUACGUAGGGGGCAAGCGUUAUCCGGAUUUACUGGGUGUAAAGGGGGCGCAGACGGCAAUGCAAGCCAGGAGUGAAAGCCCGGGGCCCAACCCCGGGACUGCUCUUGGAACUGCAUGGCUGGAGUACAGGAGGGGCAGGCGGAAUUCCUAGUGUAGCGGUGAAAUGCGUAGAUAUUAGGAGGAACACCGGGGGCGAAGGCGGCCUGCUGGACUGUGACUGACGUUGAGGCCCGAAGGCGUGGGGAGCAAACAGGAUUAGAUACCCUUGUAGUC